CUACGGGUGGCACCAGUGGGGAAUAUUGGACAAUGGGGGAAACCCUGAUCCAGCAAUGCCGCGUGGAGGAUGACACUUUUCGGAGCGUAAACUCCUUUUAUACAGGAAGAAGAUGACGGUACUAUAUGAAUAAGCGCCGGCUAACUCCGUGCCAGCAGCCGCGGUAAUACGGAGGGCGCAAGCGUUACUCGGAAUCACUGGGCGUAAAGAGCGUGUAGGCGGAUUAAAAAGUCAGAAGUGAAAUCCUAUAGCUUAACUAUAGAACUGCUUCUGAAACUCUUAAUCUAGAAUGUGGGAGAGGUAGAUGGAAUUUCUGGUGUAGGGGUAAAAUCCGUAGAGAUCAGAAGGAAUGCCGAUUGCGAAGGCGAUCUACUAGAACAUUAUUGACGCUGAGACGCGAAAGCGUGGGGAGCAAACAGGAUUAGAUACCCCCGUAGUC
This 439-nucleotide ribosomal RNA is filed under the name uncultured bacterium. RNAcentral describes it as "partial 16S ribosomal RNA". It matches the Rfam family "Bacterial small subunit ribosomal RNA", at positions 339 to 795 of the family's 1533-position model. The record is from RNAcentral.